This 497-nucleotide ribosomal RNA is filed under the name uncultured bacterium. Its description in RNAcentral is "partial 16S ribosomal RNA". It matches the Rfam family "Bacterial small subunit ribosomal RNA", at positions 28 to 507 of the family's 1533-position model. The record is from RNAcentral.
GAUGAACGCUGGCGGCGUGCCUAAUACAUGCAAGUCGAGCGAACAGACGAGGAGCUUGCUCCUUCGACGUUAGCGGCGGACGGGUGAGUAACACGUAGGUAACCUACCUAUAAGACUGGGAUAACUUCGGGAAACCGGAGCUAAUACCGGAUAAUAUUUCGAACCGCAUGGUUCGAUAGUGAAAGAUGGCUUUGCUAUCACUUAUAGAUGGACCUGCGCCGUAUUAGCUAGUUGGUAAGGUAACGGCUUACCAAGGCAACGAUACGUAGCCGACCUGAGAGGGUGAUCGGCCACACUGGAACUGAGACACGGUCCAGACUCCGACGGGAGGCAGCAGUAGGGAAUCUGCCGCAAUGGGCGAAAGCCUGACGGAGCAACGCCGCGUGAGUGAUGAAGGUCUUCGGAUCGUAAAACUCUGUUAUUAGGGAAGAACAAACGUGUAAGUAACUGUGCACGUCUUGACGGUACCUAAUCAGAAAGCCACGGCUAACUACGUG